CCUUUAACGGCGAUUAAACCGGAGUAAAAGGAAUAAUUCAUCAUCCUCACGCCGGUUUCUGUCCCCGAUGAGGCGAGGUCGCUAAUUACAGAGCGAUAUCGCGCCCAAUUACAGGAUUUAAAGCAGCCAGUUAGUCUGUGAGGAAAAUCGGCGCGCGUCUGAAACACGCUGUCGGCUUUUUUAUCGGAUCAUUACUCGCUGCACGGCUUUAUGAACGUAUCGAUCCCCCCGUUUUGAACCUCUUGGCGUAACAGAUACAGAUGCAUCUGAUUACACUCCAACUAAUCAAAAUAAAGAUCUCAAGCUAACGGAGCUAACUUUAGCUUACGUCCGAAUUCGAAACUCCUUUUAAGCUAACGAAGCUAACGUCGUCGUUUUCUUCUCUUCAGAUUUUAAACUAAUUACAAGUGAACUUCUCGGAUUUUUUUUUUUAGGGCUAAGCGACGCUAACGUCGUGGCUCGUUUCCUCCUGUUCAAAUGUUUCAUCAAAUACUCCAGAUUUUAAAAUAGCUAAGCUACUUCUAGGCUCGUUUUUAAACCUGACUUCUCGGCCGUUUUCUUCGGAUCGAUUCUUCAAAAAUGUUUGCUAACCGCUAAAAUGGGAAGCUAACUAAGCUCAUCUGUGCGCCGUUUUCUUCGGUGUAAUCUUUUAAGCUAGCUGUAAGCUAGCGUGUCAGAUUUUAAAAUAACUCAACUAAAUUCUAGACUGUUUCUUUUUAAACUCAGAUUUUAUGCUUUUUUAUAGGGGCAGAGGUCAUGUGAGGUCAUGUGAGGUCAUGUGAGAGGUCAUGUGAGGUGAUGGCUUUAAGCAGAACAUCUCUUUAACCUUUCAGUGUGUGUGUGUGUGUGUGUGUGUGUGUGUGUUAGCUCAGAGUGUGUGAGUGUGUUAGCUCAGAGAGAGAGUGUGUGUGUGUUAGCUCAGACUCAGAGUGUGUUUGUGUGUGUUAGUUCAGUGUGUGUUAGCUCAGAGUGUGUUUGUGUGUAUUUCAGUGUGUGUGUGUGUGUGUGUGUGUGUGUGUGUGUGUGUGUGUGUGUGUGUGUGAGAGAGAGAAAGUAAGACGAAUGGGGCACCAUGAUUGACUAUUUCCUCACAACACUGAAUCAAUGGAGUCAUUAUCAGCACAAUUACACUGCUAACACACACACUCUCUGAGCUAACUAACACACACACACACACACACACACACACACACACACACACACUCUGACCUAACCAACACACACACAGUUACUUUACCCCAGUUGUAGUCCAUCGUCCAGGACAUGUUUAGUGUCUGAAGUUUGCUGCUUGAGAUUCGCGCUGGAUCUACAAAGCUAAAGUUGCUAACAAGUAAUCAAAGCCUAUACCCACCUGGUUAGCAUGUAUAAAACACCACGCAGUUACCUAGCAACCGUACGACACUUUGCAUAAGUACCCCCGCCCCCUUGAACCUUUUUGUAGUGUUAAUCAAAGAUUAUAAAUCACAACCAAUAAUAAAUCCCGUAACACUAAAGACCCCGUGAGCGGCGGGUCAACAGAGUUCUUUACAAGCACAAACUGUAAAAUCUGCAUAAGUAUUCACCCCCCCCC
Ictalurus punctatus (channel catfish) is the source of this 1570-nucleotide long non-coding RNA. The record is from Ensembl. Lineage: Eukaryota; Metazoa; Chordata; Actinopteri; Siluriformes; Ictaluridae.